Molecule: long non-coding RNA, 1081 nt
Filed under: Physcomitrium patens
Lineage: Eukaryota; Viridiplantae; Streptophyta; Bryopsida; Funariales; Funariaceae
Description: long non-coding RNA (PPAT_LNC003044)
Source: RNAcentral
AACAAACGUAAUCCAAUUCAAAAAAACUCAAAGAAAUUUCAAACAAACAAUAAAAUUCUUAAAGAAAUAUUAAAAUGAUCACAAAUUUUACUCAAAUAUAUGUCAAUUCAACCUUAAUUUAAUCCUAGUUAAAACCCUAUUGAAUUUCACUCAACUUUAGACCAAACUUAAUUAAAUCUUAAAUCCUAAUAAUUCCUAAAUCUUAAAUCAAAUUCUAAACAAAUCUUAAAUUAAAUCCUAUUCCAAACCCUAAACCCUAAACCAAACCCUAAAUCAAACCCUAAAACAAACCCUAAUCCAAUCCUAAACCCUAAACUAAAUCCUAUUCCAAACCCUAAACCCUAAACCAAACCCUAAAUCAAACCCUAAAACAAACCCUAAUCCAAUCCUAAACCCUAAACUAAACCUUAAAUCAAAUCCUAACUAAACCCUAAAUCCUAAUCCAAACCGUAAUCCAACCCUAAACACUAAUCCAAAUCUUAAAACCUAAAACAAACCUUAAAUCAAACUCUAAUCUAAACCUUAAUCCAACUCUAAACUCUAAUCCAAAUCCAAAACCCUAAACCAAACCUUAAUUCAAACCCUAACCAAAUCCUAAUCCAAACCCUAAUCCAAAUCUUAAAUCAAACCCUAAUUAAAUCCUAAACCCUAAUCCAAACUCUAAACCCUAAUCCAAACCCUAAUCCAAAUCCUAAUCCAAACCCUAAACCGAACCCUAGCCAAAUCCUAAUCCAAAUCCUAGUAAUUCCUAUAACACAUUUAAACCUCAAUAUCUACUGAAUAAACCAUUGAUCUCAAUUCAAAAUUUGCAUACUUCUUAAAAAUCAAAUUCAAAAUAAGCAAAAAAAUUUUGAAAAGGAUCGGAGAUACCAAAUUGACGAAAACCUCAAAAAUGUAUUUGGGUGUUAGCCGGCCUCCUUCUCCAAUCUUAUUGCCAACCUUCAAGAGCCAAUUUCUCUUCUUUGCGCUGUUCGAUUGGUUUCGAACUUGUCAUGGACAUUGUAAAACAAGUCUUAUAUCCUCUCACAUAAGUUUUACUCCAAUCCAACUAGUAGAUUGUAUGAAAUCUUAAAAACCCUCU